AGUGAACGCUGGCGGUAGGCCUAACACAUGCAAGUCGAACGGCAGCACAGUAAGAGCUUGCUCUUACGGGUGGCGAGUGGCGGACGGGUGAGGAAUACAUCGGAAUCUACUUUUUCGUGGGGGAUAACGUAGGGAAACUUACGCUAAUACCGCAUACGACCUACGGGUGAAAGCAGGGGAUCUUCGGACCUUGCGCGAUUGAAUGAGCCGAUGUCGGAUUAGCUAGUUGGCGGGGUAAAGGCCCACCAAGGCGACGAUCCGUAGCUGGUCUGAGAGGAUGGUCGGCCACACUGGAACUGAGACACGGUCCAGACUCCUACGGGAGGCAGCAGUGGGGAAUAUUAGACAAUGGGCGCAAGCCUGAUCCAGCCAUACCGCGUGGGUGAAGAAGGCCUUCGGGUUGUAAAGCCCUUUUGUUGGGAAAGAAAAGCAGCAGGUUAAUACCCCGCUGUUCUGACGGUACCCAAAGAAUAAGCACCGGCUAACUUCGUG
RNAcentral lists this ribosomal RNA (492 nucleotides) under uncultured bacterium. RNAcentral's name for it is "partial 16S ribosomal RNA". It matches the Rfam family "Bacterial small subunit ribosomal RNA", at positions 29 to 507 of the family's 1533-position model. The record is from RNAcentral.